Molecule: ribosomal RNA, 434 nt
Filed under: uncultured bacterium
Lineage: Bacteria
Description: partial 16S ribosomal RNA
Rfam family: Bacterial small subunit ribosomal RNA
Source: RNAcentral
AGCGAACGCUGGCGGCAGGCCUAACACAUGCAAGUCGAACGAACCUUCCGGAGGUAGUGGCGGAUGGGUGUGUAACACGUCGGAACAUGCCUUUAGGGUCGGAAUAACUAAGGGAAACUUGUGCUAAUACCGAACGUGCGCUACGGGCGGAAGAUUAAUCGCCUCUAGAGCGUCAAGCGUCGGAUUAGCUAGUUGGUUGAGGUAAUGGCUCAUCAAGGCGACGAUCAGUAGCUGGUCUGGGAGCAUGAUCAGACACAUUGGGACGGGGACGCAGCCGAGACUCCUACGGGAGGCAGCAGUGGGGAAUCUUGCGCAAUGGGCGAAAGCAUGACGCAGCCAUGCCGGGUGAAUGAUGAAGGUCUUAGGAUUGUAAAAUUCUUUCAACGGGGACGAUAAUGACGGUACCCGGAGAAGAAGCCCCGGCUAACUUCGUG